RNAcentral lists this transfer RNA (68 nucleotides) under Loxodonta africana (African savanna elephant). It matches the Rfam family "tRNA". Rfam says of the family: Transfer RNA (tRNA) molecules are approximately 80 nucleotides in length. The record is from Rfam by way of RNAcentral. Lineage: Eukaryota; Metazoa; Chordata; Mammalia; Proboscidea; Elephantidae.
GCAGUGGUUCAGUGGUAGAAUCCUUACCUUCCAUGUGGGAGACCCAGGUUUGAUUCCUGGCCAAUGCA